CCUACGGGAGGCAGCAGUGGGGAAUAUUGGGCAAUGGGCGCAAGCCUGACCCAGCAACGCCGCGUGAAGGAAGAAGGCUUUCGGGUGGUAAACUUCUUUUAAGAGGGAAGAGCAGAAGACGGUAGCUCUUGAAUAAGCCACGGCUAACUACGUGCCAGCAGCCGCGGUAAUACGUAGGUGGCAAGCGUUGUCCGGAUUUACUGGGUGUAAAGGGCGUGUAGCCGGGCUGACAGGUCAGAUGUGAAAUCCCGUGGCUCAACCACGGAACUGCAUUUGAAACUGUCGGUCUUGAGUAUCGGAGCGGCAGGCGGAAUUCCUGGUGUAGCGGUGAAAUGCGUAGAUAUCUGAAGGAACAUCGGUGGCGAAGGCGACUAACUGGCACAUGACUGACGCUGAGGAGCGAAAGCGUGGGUAGCAAACAGGAUUAGAUACCCGGGUAGUC
This 442-nucleotide ribosomal RNA is filed under the name uncultured bacterium. RNAcentral describes it as "partial 16S ribosomal RNA". It matches the Rfam family "Bacterial small subunit ribosomal RNA", at positions 338 to 795 of the family's 1533-position model. The record is from RNAcentral.